RNAcentral lists this transfer RNA (75 nucleotides) under Clostridiales bacterium. RNAcentral describes it as "tRNA-Glu". It matches the Rfam family "tRNA". Rfam says of the family: Transfer RNA (tRNA) molecules are approximately 80 nucleotides in length. Their secondary structure includes four short double-helical elements and three loops (D, anti-codon, and T loops). Further hydrogen bonds mediate the characteristic L-shaped molecular structure. tRNAs have two regions of fundamental functional importance: the anti-codon, which is responsible for specific mRNA codon recognition, and the 3' end, to which the tRNAs corresponding amino acid is attached (by aminoacyl-tRNA synthetases). tRNAs cope with the degeneracy of the genetic code in two manners: having more than one tRNA (with a specific anti-codon) for a particular amino acid; and 'wobble' base-pairing, i.e. permitting non-standard base-pairing at the 3rd anti-codon position. Lineage: Bacteria; Bacillati; Bacillota; Clostridia; Eubacteriales. The record is from RNAcentral.
GGUCCCUUGGUCAAGCGGUUAAGACAUCGCCCUUUCACGGCGGUAACAGGAGUUCGAUUCUCCUAGGGAUCACCA